Molecule: ribosomal RNA, 231 nt
Filed under: uncultured bacterium
Lineage: Bacteria
Description: partial 16S ribosomal RNA
Rfam family: Bacterial small subunit ribosomal RNA
Source: RNAcentral
CGGGUGAGUAACGCGUGGGUAACCUGCCUCGUACAGGGGGAUAACAGUUAGAAAUGACUGCUAAUACCGCAUGAGCGCACAGUGCCGCAUGGCACAGUGUGAAAAACUCCGGUGGUAUGAGAUGGACCCGCGUCUGAUUAGCUAGUUGGUGGGGUAACGGCCUACCAAGGCGACGAUCAGUAGCCGGCCUGAGAGGGUGAACGGCCACAUUGGGACUGAGACACGGCCCAA